Molecule: ribosomal RNA, 253 nt
Filed under: uncultured bacterium
Lineage: Bacteria
Description: partial 16S ribosomal RNA
Rfam family: Bacterial small subunit ribosomal RNA
Source: RNAcentral
GACAGAGGAGGCAAGCGUAAUCCGGAAUUAGUGGGCGUAAAGCGUCCGUAGGUGGUUUGACAAGUCUGGGGUUAAAGCCCGGAGCCCAACUCCGGAUCGGCCCUGGAAACUGUCAGACUUGAGUAAGGUAGGGGUUGCGGGAAUUCCCGGUGUAGCGGUGAAAUGCGUAGAUAUAGGGAAGAACACCAGCGGCGAAAGCGCGCAACUGGGCCAUUACUGACACUGAGGGACGAAAGCUAGGGGAGCGAAUGGG